This 66-nucleotide transfer RNA is filed under the name Peltorhamphus novaezeelandiae (New Zealand sole). Its description in RNAcentral is "tRNA-Cys". The record is from RNAcentral. Lineage: Eukaryota; Metazoa; Chordata; Actinopteri; Pleuronectiformes; Rhombosoleidae.
UUCUAUCAGCCUUGAUAGUACUCAGAUUGCAAAUCUGAGGCAGCAGGUUAAACCCCUGCCAGGGCU